AUGAAAGGGGCCCGUCUGCUGUUGUCAAAACUGAAUGUUGGGCCCCGGUGUCUACUAGAAAGGUGGUGGGGCGCCCCCCUACAGAAAGGGUUAUCCGGGGCUCGGGGGGGGCUUCGGAGCCCUGACGCCCCUAAUCGCUGUCCUCUCCCAGGGUCAGGACCGGGGUGGGUUUCUUCCGGUCCUUAGGACGUUUAGGACAGUCUUUGAUCCAAUGUCCUCGUUCUUUGCAGUAGGCACAUUGGUCCUUAUCCACUUUCGGGCGCCUUCGUUCUCCCCCCUUUCUCUGGCCCUGGCCCUUUCCCUGUCACUACUGCUGCCAGGAUUUUAGUCAAAUGCCUGUCUCUCCUACGAUCUCGUCGAUCUUCUCGCUCUUCCUGUUCCUUUGCUAGCCUAGCUUCUUUCUCCUCAAUAGUCUCUCUUUUAUUAUAAACUUUUUCUGCUUCUCUAACUAGUUCUUGCAGCCCCUAAGUCUGAAUCCCGUCUAAUCUCUGGAGCUUGCUCUUUAUGUCUAGAGCUGCCUGAUCUAUGAAUGACAUAGCCACAGUGGCCUUGUGCUCCGGGGCCUCCGGAUCGAAUGGAGUGUACAUUCGAAACCCCUCUAGGAGCCUCUCCAUGAAUGCCGCCGGGCUUUCAUUCUUUUCCUGAGUAAUAGUUCUUACCUUGGCCAAAUUGGUGGGGCGCUUUCCGGCCCCUUUGAGACCUGCCAGCAGAGCCUGGCGAUAGAUUCGGAGACUCUCCCUACCUGAUGCUGUUUCAUAGUCCCAAUCCGGGCGGGUGAGGGGAAAUCCCUCAUCUAUCUCGUUGGGGAGCUGGGUCGGGAGUCCUCCUGGCCCUGGCACAUGUUUCCGGGCCUCGAGGAGGACUCGUUGCCUCUCUUCUGUGGUCAGAAGAACCUGCAAGAGCUGUUGACAGUCGUCCCAAGUGGGUUGGCUUCUCAGAGGCAGGCAGAUCGAUCACUUGACGUCAGGAGUUCAAGACCAGCGUGGCCAACAUGGUGAAACCCCAUCUUUAAUAAAAAUACAAAAAUUAGCCAGGUAGAGGGAGAGUUCUGAUGCAAGUACUCAAAAGAGAAGACAAUGUGAAAACAGAGCAGAGAGAUAUGCCAAGGAAUGCUGACCAUAAUCAGAAGCUAAAAGAGGCAAAGAACAGUCUCUCUCCUAGAGCCUCCAGAGGGGCCUCAAUAUCUUGAUUGCAGACUUCUGGGCUCCAAAAUUUUGAGAAGAAUAAAUUCCUCUUGUUUUAAACCA
Pan troglodytes (chimpanzee) is the source of this 1247-nucleotide long non-coding RNA. RefSeq lists it as uncharacterized. The transcript is spliced from 3 exons. The record is from RefSeq and is a predicted model, not a curated record. NCBI's taxonomy places the organism in Eukaryota, Metazoa, Chordata, Mammalia, Primates, Hominidae.